Molecule: ribosomal RNA, 1887 nt
Filed under: Triticum aestivum (bread wheat)
Lineage: Eukaryota; Viridiplantae; Streptophyta; Magnoliopsida; Poales; Poaceae
Description: partial small subunit ribosomal RNA
Source: RNAcentral
AUGGACCGAGGUGAGCCCUCAUUGAAACCAGAAUGGCUGGUGCGCGGGGUUGCCACACCGACAGUAGCUGCCACAGGCUUCCGGCCAGGAAUUUCGCCCCGUGCAGAUGAUCAAGACAGGGGUGCUUCAUCAAGAAACCGAUCUUCAGGCCGUGAUCGUGAACGGAACUCCCAACAGUCCUCUUCACGCAGGGGUUCUGGCCAAAGUGUGUCCAGACGGCAUGACCGGGAUGGAACAGUGAAGUCAAGAGGGUAUGCUAGUUUUGGAAGGAGCAACAGGGACAGGGGUUGUGACAAGGAUUCUGAUUUCCGUGAUUGGGAGAGUAGAUUGGGUCUUGCAGGUGACCCACUGCGUGAUGGCUUUGGGCCCUUUAACUCAUGCAGACCCGAAAGCGAUAGGCUUAAUCGUAUUCGUCCAAAGUUGGACACAUUGAAUCGAGCAUCUGGAGUAAGUUUGGACAAUGGUAAUCUGUCUAGAAAGGAUGCUGGCGGCAUGUCCUUUGAGCGAGAAUUCCCACACCUUAGUUCUGAGGACAACAAUGGAAAACAUGAUGUAGUUAGAGUUCCAUCUCCUGGAAUUGGCUCCCCAAUUCAGAGCAUACCAUUGGUUACUGCGCCUGAUGGCUGGAACUCAGUGCUAGCAGAAGUCCCUGGACUUAGUGAGCCAAGCAAUACCCAGACCUCUUCUGCUUCAUCACGUGCUGGUUCCAGUCAGCAGCUUGUAGUGUCGAACUGUGGGACUGCCUUAAGCAUGGCUGAAACAGUAAUGCAGACUCCAUUAAAAAUUUCCACCACACCUCAGCUAUCAAUUGAUGCUCAGAAGAUUGAAGAAAGAACUAUGAGGCAGUGUAUUCUAAGACCUCUGACGCCUUCAUCAAACAAAAAUUCUGUAUGUACUUUGUCAGAUAGGUUAAAAACGAAAGGUGCAAGAGCUGGGGAUUCUAAUGGUUCUACCAAAACUGCACCCCAACUGUCAGCACAGUCUUCCAAUAACUCUGUUCGUACUCCAGUCAAAUCUGAGGUUGCCAAGCCAUCUCAACCAGGAUCCUUCCAAGUCCUGACCCGUGAGCAGAAUGGUGCUGCAAAUACCUCAAAAGACUCCACUAGCAAUCCUUUAAGCCCUAUUCUAGGUCGAUCUUCUUCAGUGGAACCACUGAAAAAGCCCCUUGUCAACCAAAAGCUUAAAGGUGUCAUAAAUGGCCUCCCUUUGCAAUUACAACAAGGUCCAUCUGGUGAGAGAAAAUCAAUAACAAAAGCCAAGCAUAAAUUCUUUGAGUUGCUGCGAAGCAAGUCUUUAAAUGGUUCAAGCAUGGGUAUUGAAUCCUCAUCUAGCUUGAUUAAUGAACAGAAGAACCCAUGUCUUGAUUUAUCCUUGUUUGACGCUGGAAUCAAGUGUAUUGAGACUGGAAGUAGUUCUUGUGAGGAUGCAAAUUCUUGUGAUGGGUCUCAGCGACACCUCUCUGACAAUGAGGAAACAAAGGCAUCUUUGGAACCUCUUGAUGUUUUUUAUCGUGAGUCCCAUGGGGUUGCAGCUGUCAAGGAUAGCAACUCUUUAUCAGAUCAUGCUGAUGCCGAAAAUGGAUCUAUGGCGCCUCAGGCAGACAAGGCUGAAGCUACUCUGGCCAUUAUGGCAGCAGAUAUAAAUGAUGGUUCUGCAAAGGCAGACUCCAGCUAUGGUGAUGCCGGUUUGUUGUUUGUGCCCAUUGUAACUGGGGAAGAGGAAUCAUAUCCUACUGAAGAUGAACCCAGUCCAGAAGAAAUGGCUUUCCUGAAAUCUCUUGGCUGGAAAGAAGACGAAGUAGUUCCGCCUCUGAAACAGGAAGAGAUAGCUGAUUGUUUAAGGCACAACGUGAGGCUGCAGCAGAAGCUUGAGGAGUGCAGGGGCUAA